Molecule: long non-coding RNA, 238 nt
Filed under: Capsicum annuum
Lineage: Eukaryota; Viridiplantae; Streptophyta; Magnoliopsida; Solanales; Solanaceae
Description: long non-coding RNA (CANN_LNC021476)
Source: RNAcentral
GGACACCAAAACAGUCCACUACAUACACUAAAAGGGUCAAAUCAGUCCACUACAUACACUAGAGGGGUGCCCCUUCACUAAGGGGCCUUUUGGUCAUUUUACCUAUUAUUUGUAAUACACUAUAAAUAGAAUAAUGUAGGGUUUCAUUAGGAGAUUUUGAUGAAUAUUAUGAGUUUAUAACACUUGAAAUAUUUCCUCUCUAAGGAGAGAAGACCACCAACCCGCAAUUGUAACUAGG